Molecule: ribosomal RNA, 392 nt
Filed under: bacterium ocnta523lb344onp9.8
Lineage: Bacteria
Description: bacterial SSU rRNA
Rfam family: Bacterial small subunit ribosomal RNA
Source: RNAcentral
CUACACAUGCAGUCGAGCGGAAACGAGUUAACUGAACCUUCGGGGAACGUUAACGGCGUCGAGCNNCGGACGGGUGAGUAAUGCCUGGGAAAUUGCCCUGAUGUGGGGGAUAACCAUUGGAAACGAUGGCUAAUACCGCAUAAUAGCUUCGGCUCAAAGAGGGGGACCUUCGGGCCUCUCGCGUCAGGAUAUGCCCAGGUGGGAUUAGCUAGUUGGUGAGGUAAGGGCUCACCAAGGCGACGAUCCCUAGCUGGUCUGAGAGGAUGAUCAGCCACACUGGAACUGAGACACGGUCCAGACUCCUACGGGAGGCAGCAGUGGGGAAUAUUGCACAAUGGGCGCAAGUCUGAGGCAGCCAUGCCGCGUGUAUCAGGAAGGCUUUCGGGUUGUAA